RNAcentral lists this long non-coding RNA (2368 nucleotides) under Eucalyptus grandis. RNAcentral's name for it is "long non-coding RNA (EGRA_LNC002383)". The record is from RNAcentral. Lineage: Eukaryota; Viridiplantae; Streptophyta; Magnoliopsida; Myrtales; Myrtaceae.
CGAGUUCUCCUUCUCAAAUUGCUCCUCAGCUCCUCAACGGGGUCCUGAAAUGUUUUUCCCCAAACUGGGAUGAGACUACGUCUCAGCGAGUUCUACCCCACUAAGCCCGAUUAGUAAACCACUAUAUUAUAGGCUGCCUAUACACGCACAGGGCAGAAGACGUACCUUGGCAUCAGAUCCCACCUACAAGUCAGUACAAUUCAUAAUAGGCACCCAAGCAAUCAUAUCACCGAUCGAAGCAUCGAUCAAAUCGACCUAGUCGAUUACAAGCCAAUAAGACCACUCACGGUCAUUCCCAUUCAAUCAAUCAAUUCACAACAUCAGAUCAAAACAAUGAUCAAUCGACCUAGUCGAUUACAUGCCAACAAGACCACUCACGGUCAUUCCCAUUCAAUCAAUCAAUUCACAACAUCAGAUCAAAACAAUGAUCAAUCGACCUAGUCGAUUACAUGCCAACAAGACCACUCACGGUCAUUCCCAUUCAAUCAAUCAAUUCACAACAUCAGAUCAAAACAAUGAUCAAUCGACCUAGUCGAUUACAUGUCAUUCGGACCACCUCUGGGUCAUUCCCACUCAUACCACGAUUUCCCAGUGGUGUACUCAUUCACCAAAUCACAUGUGUUUCUCGGGCGUCGUUUUUGCCAAUGACAUACCGAUCACCGACACCGUGCGUUCUUUAAGGCGCCGUUUUCACCAGUGAUAACCUUGAUCACCGAACCACGUGUCCUUUCAAGGGCGCCGUUUUCGCCAAGGUGACAUCGGCUAUAGACAACAUCAUGCGUUCUUUAAGGCGCCGUUUUCACCAGUGAUAUUCCCAUAACCACCGAACCACGUUUGUCUAUAAGUCAUUUACGUGCGUUCUUUAAGGCGCCGUUUUCGCCAGUGAUACUUCCAAUCACCGAACCACGUAUAUCCAAUAACAUCGUACCUGAUUGGUCUCAGCCAAUAACAUUCUCAGUUAGCUCUCACCAUUCUCCCUACUAUAUAGCCCAUCAACGUACUGGCGCUAUAUACCCAUACUCAGCCAUCCAUCAAUCAAAUAUUCAAUAACAAACAAAUUAGGACAAUUCCUAAAAUUCCACAAUAAAUUCAAUUCCACACAACGUAGAGCUCAAAUAAAUAAACGGUCUGCACCACGACAAUCAGCACGAAAUUUCGGUCAUCGGCCAUCAAAAUCUUAAUUUCCGAAAAAUAAAUAAAUAAUUAUUAAUUUCGAAAAUUAAAUAAUUAUUAUUAAAAAUUCAAUUUAGCUCAAAAUAAAGCCCGAUUACAUAAACGGACUUCACCACGGUCAUCAGCAUAAUUUUCCGGUUCCAAGCCAUCUCAGUUGAAUUUCCGGAAAAUAAAUAAAUAAAUAAAUAAUUUCGAAUAUUAAAUAAUUAAUAUUAAAAAUCCCNNNNNNNNNNNNNNNNNNNNNNNNNNNNNNNNNNNNNNNNNNNNNNNNNNNNNNNNNNNNNNNNNNNNNNNNNNNNNNNNNNNNNNNNNNNNNNNNNNNNUAUCCCGGUUCCAGACCAUCUCACGUUGAAUUUUCGGAAAAUAAAUAAUUAUUUAAUUUAAUUCCGAAAAUUAAUAUUUAAAUACAAAAAAAAUCCACUUAGGCCCGAAAAGCCUAAUUGGAGCCCACUAAGGGUCGGGAAAAUCCUGAGGCACUUCCAAUAAUUAGUAGACCACGUCUACUUGCUGAUUACACAAUCAAUUUAUCUAAAUCGCAUCACAAUUGACUAAUAAUUGCUAAUUUACUCUAAUCUAACAACCUAAACAUAAUUAAUUAAAUCUAAACCAACCUUAAGCAUAAUUAGCCAACUAAUCCAGGAUUAGUGAGAUUACUCACCAAAUCGCGCACAAAUCGGAUCAAUCCGACGGCGGCGACGCGAGGAACGAUUGUUCCCAAAGCACGGCUCGGGUUCGGGGCCGGGAAACGGUCCAAAAGCGGGCCCGAAGUGCUGGAAACCCACUUCGUGGGUCUGCUGGUUUAGCUGCAAAACAGAGAGAAAGAGAGAGGGUUGGGGGCGGCAAGAGGUCGGGAGAGUAGGCGGGGCUCCGGUGAGGCCGGACGGCGGCUCCGGCGGCCUGCUCAGCCGCUCACGGUGGCUGAACAGAGACCGAACGGGAGCUGGGUCGCACGGCAGGGACGGCAAGCGCAGGCGACGCACGGGUGGCGAACGGCGGACGUGCGGCGUGCGCGGGCGUGCGGUGCGGCGGCGGGACAGGCGGCGAUGGUGGCUGGCUUCUGCUUCCGAUCUCCUGCAGCUUCUGGUUCGGUUUGCUCAGAGAAGAACGAAGAAGAAGAAGAAGGUAACGUGAGGGAGGAGGCAAGAAGAGAGAGAAGAGAUAAGGGAGAGAAGUUUUGACUAGUCAAAGAGGAGAG